AAUAGAUACCCCGGUAGUCCAUGCCGUAAACGAUGUCUACUAGCCGUUGGGGCCUUUGAGGCUUUAGUGGCGCAGCUAACGCGAUAAGUAGACCGCCUGGGGAGUACGGUCGCAAGACUAAAACUCAAAUGAAUUGACGGGGGCCCGCACAAGCGGUGGAGCAUGUGGUUUAAUUCGAUGCAACGCGAAGAACCUUACCUGGUCUUGACAUAGUAAGAACUUUCCAGAGAUGGAUUGGUGCCUUCGGGAACUUACAUACAGGUGCUGCAUGGCUGUCGUCAGCUCGUGUCGUGAGAUGUUGGGUUAAGUCCCGCAACGAGCGCAACCCUUUUCCUUAUUUGCCAGCGGGUUAAGCCGGGAACUUUAAGGAUACUGCCAGUGACAAACUGGAGGAAGGCGGGGACGACGUCAAGUCAUCAUGGCCCUUACGACCAGGGCUACACACGUGCUACAAUGGUCGGUACAAAGGGUUGCUACCUAGCGAUAGGAUGCUAAUCUCAAAAAGCUGAUCGUAGUCCGGAUUGGAGUCUGCAACUCGACU
RNAcentral lists this ribosomal RNA (541 nucleotides) under uncultured bacterium. Its description in RNAcentral is "bacterial SSU rRNA". It matches the Rfam family "Bacterial small subunit ribosomal RNA", at positions 777 to 1317 of the family's 1533-position model. The record is from RNAcentral.